GAUGAACGCUAGCGGCAGGCCUAACACAUGCAAGUCGAGGGAGAGGUUACCUUCGGGUAACCAAAACCGGCGCACGGGUGCGUAACGCGUAUACAAUCUGCCUUUCACAUAGGGAUAGCCCGCAGAAAUUUGGAUUAAUACCUACUGGUAUAUAAGAGCGGCAUCGUUUUUAUAUUAAAGCUACGGUGGUGAAAGAUGAGUAUGCGUUCUAUUAGCUAGUUGGAGAGGUAACGGCUCCUUAAGGCGACGAUAGAUAGGGGUUCUGAGAGGGAUGUCCCCCACACUGGUACUGAGAUACGGACCAGACUCCUACGGGAGGCAGCAGUGAGGAAGAUUGGACAAUGGUCGGAAGACUGAUCCAGGCAUGCCGCGUGCAGGAUGAAGGUCCUAUGGAUUGUAAACUGCUGUUGUAAGGGAAGAAUAAGGAGUACGUGUACUUUGAUGACGGUACCGUACGAAUAAGCAUCGGCUAACUCCGUG
Molecule: ribosomal RNA, 480 nt
Filed under: uncultured bacterium
Lineage: Bacteria
Description: partial 16S ribosomal RNA
Rfam family: Bacterial small subunit ribosomal RNA
Source: RNAcentral